Molecule: long non-coding RNA, 1046 nt
Organism: Stegostoma tigrinum
Lineage: Eukaryota; Metazoa; Chordata; Chondrichthyes; Orectolobiformes; Stegostomatidae
Exons: 3
Source: RefSeq, a predicted model, not a curated record
GCCACUGGAUAUGACAGCUUAUCCUGCCAAUCGUAAUGGUCCUCAAGAAGUUGUAAGCUGCCUUCUUAAACUGCUGCAGUCCAUUUGGUACAAAUAAAUCUAUUUUGCUGCAAGGGAAUUCCAGGAUUUUCAACUACAGAUGGUGAGGAAAAAGCAGCACAGUUCCAAUUUGGGAAGCUCCACAAUGAAAGCUGCAAGAGGAAAACCUAGUUUGGAAGGCAAUCCGUUUUCAUAUGAAUUUAACCAACGUCAGCCUGGAAUAUGAGCUAACCAGAGACAAACCAAGGGAACAACUACUGAUAAGAAUUUAACUGAUCAACGAGACACGGAAAUGUUUACCUCCACCAUGGCUUUGGGCAAUAGCUCAGCACGGAAAAGUUGCAGCAUUGCAUCCACAAUGUUCUUCCAUCCCUCUCGAAGAAUGUCACCAUGACGAUGAGACAAAUUAAACACCGUCUUGGCUGCAAGUUGAGCCUUUGAAUUGCUACCAAAAACAUUUGGAAGAUUUUCCACAGUCUACAGGAAAAGAGGACAAUACAAUGGAUUAACGGGCUGGUGGACAGUGCAGAAAAUGUAGCAGAUUUAAUCAAAAAGGAGUUGAGGGUUACAACCCCUGAAAAAUAAAUUCAGUUAGCACAGCAUUAGUUUCAAUUAGAUUUUGAGUGACAUACACAAAAAGAGUAACAUGAGCAAUGUGGGCUGCAGUGAGACAGAAGAACAGAAACUUUGGGCAAAAUGAAAGGAGAAGGCUAAUGAGGAGAAGCGAGAUUUCACUAUAUUCUCAAACUGACCACCACUUUUCACCAGCAGAUCCAUUAAGUGAGACAGCAUAAAGCAAGGUUCACUGUUCUAAAAACUCAAGAAUGGCGACAAUAUCGACCGUUUGAGCUGCUGAAAUUAGGCAAGAAUGUUAACGUUGAAGUCACGUGUAUUUAGGCCAAUUCGAGUAUCAAGUGAAUGAUCUACCAAAAACUGGAAGAUAUCUGCAUAACAAUGCAUUAUAAAAUGUCUAAUUGUAAUAAGUUUGUUUGAAACACACAACCUUC